RNAcentral lists this non-coding RNA (811 nucleotides) under Pongo abelii (Sumatran orangutan). The record is from RNAcentral. Lineage: Eukaryota; Metazoa; Chordata; Mammalia; Primates; Hominidae.
UGUGAACUGACAAGCCCGUGGAUGUCUACAAAGAGUGAACUGAUCACUGUGGGCUGGCCUUUGAGGCAUCAGCAAGCUCCAGUGCCUGGGACGAUGCCUGACACUUAGCAGACAGUCAGUGAAUAUGUGUUAUAUAAAUGAAUGAAUACUUGGAGCGUGAGAAUCAGAGCGGCAAAAAUAUUUGUCCAUAAUAUGCCUAAAGAUAAAAAUGGAAGCCUCCGAACUAGAUAAAUGCAUUGUAAUUGAAUGCUGAAUUCACCAGAUAACAUCUGAGAUUUAUUAAGCAUCAAGUCAUGUCUUAAAAAUUUUAUAUACAUUUUAGGAUUUAACUCUUAUAAAAAUCCUGUGGUUACAAGCGGUAAUACAAAGAGACAGGAUUAUAUGGUCUCCAAGGUCCCAUCCAGCCCAUUUAACACAGCGUUGUGGCUCUGGAGACCUGGAAGCACCACUAACUGUUCUCCUGAUUUUCUGAUGCUCAGCCACAUCAACCUGUCAUGCUAGUUGUGAGGAGAAGUCAAGGACAGUGACACAGCCAGCCAGUCUGAGGGGUUUUCCAUCAUCCUGAAGGAGUUGCCCUAUCCUGCUUUUCACUGGAGGGGGCAUGGAUGGGGACCCUGGAUGACAAAGCAGUCACCUACUUGAACACUACUAAUUAUGAUGUCAGAAAGAGGAAAGUUUGCAGAGUUUUGUAUUGGCAAUCAAACAUUCAGCCACAGGUCACAGUCUAGAACCAGACACAUCAGUGUCCUGAACUGCAAAGUAGCCAGGAAGCAGCAUCCCAUAACACAGUCCUAUGUCCACUGCUUUGGAG